Molecule: ribosomal RNA, 468 nt
Filed under: uncultured bacterium
Lineage: Bacteria
Description: partial 16S ribosomal RNA
Rfam family: Bacterial small subunit ribosomal RNA
Source: RNAcentral
GACGAACGCUGGCGGCGUGCUUAACACAUGCAAGUCGAACGGAAAGGCCCUGCUUUUGUGGGGUGCUCGAGUGGCGAACGGGUGAGUAACACGUGGGUAACCUGCCCUUGACUUUGGGAUAACUUCAGGGAACUGGGGCUAAUACCGGAUAGGAGCUCCUGCUGCAUGGUGGGGGUUGGAAAGUUUCGGCGGUUGGGGAUGGACUCGCGGCUUAUCAGCUUGUUGGUGGGGUAGUGGCUUACCAAGGCUUUGACGGGUAGCCGGCCUGAGAGGGUGACCGGCCACAUUGGGACUGAGAUACGGCCCAGACUCCUACGGGAGGCAGCAGUGGGGAAUAUUGCACAAUGGGCGGAAGCCUGAUGCAGCAACGCCGCGUGCGGGAUGACGGCCUUCGGGUUGUAAACCGCUUUCGCCUGUGACGAAGCGUGAGUGACGGUAAUGGGUAAAGAAGCACCGGCUAACUACGUG